GCCGGUUUAGCUCAGUGGUUAGAGCAUUUGCCUCGUAAGCAAAGGGUCGGGUGUUCAAUUCCCCCAACUGGCU
Paramecium tetraurelia is the source of this 73-nucleotide transfer RNA. It matches the Rfam family "tRNA". From Rfam's summary of the family: Transfer RNA (tRNA) molecules are approximately 80 nucleotides in length. NCBI's taxonomy places the organism in Eukaryota, Ciliophora, Oligohymenophorea, Peniculida, Parameciidae. The record is from Rfam.